AUACGUAGGGGACGAGCGUUGUCCGGAAUUACUGGGCGUAAAGGGCGCGCAGGCGGAUAUUUAAGUCAGCUGUAAAAGGCAUGAGCUCAACUCAUGUAUGCGGUUGAAACUGGGUAUCUAGAGUGCUGGAGAGGUAGGCGGAAUUCCCGGUGUAGCGGUGAAAUGCGUAGAUAUCGGGAAGAACACAAGUGGCGAAGGCGGCUUACUGGCCAGCAACUGACGCUGAGGCGCGAAAGCCAGGGGAGCGAACGGGAUUAGAUCCCCCGGUAGUCCUGGCCGUAAACGAUGAAUGCUAGGUGUGGGUGUCGAGAGGCAUCCGUGCCGGAGUUAACGCGAUAAGCAUUCCGCCUGGGGAGUACGAUCGCAAGAUUGAAACUCAAAUGAAUCGACGGGG
RNAcentral lists this ribosomal RNA (394 nucleotides) under uncultured bacterium. RNAcentral describes it as "partial 16S ribosomal RNA". It matches the Rfam family "Bacterial small subunit ribosomal RNA", at positions 523 to 918 of the family's 1533-position model. The record is from RNAcentral.